Molecule: long non-coding RNA, 438 nt
Filed under: Lathyrus oleraceus (garden pea)
Lineage: Eukaryota; Viridiplantae; Streptophyta; Magnoliopsida; Fabales; Fabaceae
Description: Pisum sativum (pea) long non-coding RNA (PSAT_LNC037373)
Source: RNAcentral
UUGGGGUUCAAGAAAAGCAAAAAAAAAAAAUCAAAAUCAAAAAGUUUUAGGGUUCAAGAAAAGCAAAAAAAAAAUCAAAAAGUUCUGGGGUUCAAGAAAAGCAAAAAAGAUAAUAAUUCCCAGCGGAGCGCAAAUUAUUCGUUUGUUCUUUGUAUUCAACCACUCUUCACUCUGAUCAUCUGAAAGCCGAGGUUGUUCAUAUCGACAGGUUCACAGUGGAUUGAAUAGGGGCAGCUGUAACACCUCAAAAUUUGCCCUCCUCUUCUUGGGACACUCUUCACUCUGAUCAUCUGAAAGCCGAGGUUGUUCAUAUCGACAGGUUCACAGUGGAUUGAAUAGGGGCAGCUGUAACACCUCAAAAUUUGCCCUCCUCUUCUUGGGACUAGUUUGACACAUUGUAUUUCAUUUUAGGACAUUAGGCAUUGCAUUUUGCAUAUC